RNAcentral lists this ribosomal RNA (305 nucleotides) under uncultured bacterium. Its description in RNAcentral is "bacterial SSU rRNA". It matches the Rfam family "Bacterial small subunit ribosomal RNA", at positions 335 to 654 of the family's 1533-position model. The record is from RNAcentral.
CUGCCUACGGGACGCAGCAGGGGGGAAUAUUGGGCAAUGGGCGCAAGCCUGACCCAGCAACGCCGCGUGAAGGAAGAAGGCUUUCGGGUUGUAAACUUCUUUUCUCAGGGACGAAGAAAGUGACGGUACCUGAGGAAUAAGCCACGGCUAACUACGUGCCAGCAGCCGCGGUAAUACGUAGGUGGCAAGCGUUAUCCGGAUUUACUGGGUGUAAAGGGCGUGUAGGCGGGAAAGCAAGUCAGAUGUGAAAACCAUGGGCUCAACCUGUAGCCUGCGUUUGAAACUGUGUUUCUUGAGUCAUGGAG